Molecule: RNA transcript, 2257 nt
Organism: Juglans regia (Persian walnut)
Lineage: Eukaryota; Viridiplantae; Streptophyta; Magnoliopsida; Fagales; Juglandaceae
Gene name: magnesium transporter MRS2-I-like
Exons: 12
Source: RefSeq, a predicted model, not a curated record
CUUCCAUGUUCCAUCAAGCAGCCAUUGACGCCUGCGAAGCAGUACUCUAUAUUCUUCCCCAGGUUACUUUUCCUUUGUGAAUUGCCUAGUUCACGACAGCAAUGAGUAAACACGUCGUACACCACCGGCAAUCUGGUAUACAUCGAGAGAAGAACAUCGUCCGACUCCAAAGAACUUGAAAUUAGCUACAUAUAAAACAUCAUAGAAUAAAAAUUGGACUCGCACGUAUAAGCAGUUUUGUUUUGUUUUGUUUUUUUGUUUUUCUUGACUGCUCACCCAAAAUUCACAAAAAGAGAGGUGUAGUAUGGUUUUUUUUUUUUUGCGAGACGUGUAGUUGUCGAUGAUAAUAAAAGUCAUAUCGAGAUACGGCAUCUUAUAAAGUUCGUUCUGCAAAAAAUAUAAUACCUUAAAUUAUAUAAAGCUAUUAUUAAAAUUUAAAAGCUAUGUCCUUUUUCCGCUUUCAAAGCCAAUCGGCCCAAAUCCAAUUCCCCACUUGAUUCUACAGCAAUUGGGUGUUUUACAAAAAUUUGGUGGUUAGUUUUUCUGUUUCUAAAGAGAAUUUGGGAUCGGGAUGUGAGAAGCGGUGAGGGAGAGGGAGAAAGACAUCGAUGGCACGGGGCAUGGAGGUGGUGCCCGCGGACCCCGGUGCCGCGGUGGUUCCGAAGAAGAAGAGCCAGAUGCUGGCUAGGAGCUGGAUACUGUUGGACUGUACGGGGGAACGGACCGUCCUGGACGUCGACAAGUACGCCAUCAUGCACCGCGUCCACAUCCAUGCUCGCGAUCUCCGAAUCCUCGACCCCUUGUUGUCCUACCCCUCCGCCAUCCUCGGCCGCGACAGGGCCAUCGUUCUCAACUUGGAGCAUAUCAAGGCAAUUAUCACUGCUGAAGAGGUAUUGCUUCGGGAUCCAACGGAUGAAAAUGUUGUCCCUGUCGUUGAGGAACUUCAAAGGCGUUUACCUCCUGUCAAUGCUAUUCGCCAAGGUCAACCCAACGGAAAAGAGUACCCAGGUGGGCAAAAUGAUGUCGAGGCCAGUGAAGAAGAUGAGUCUCCAUUUGAGUUCCGGGCCCUGGAGGUAGCUUUGGAAGCUAUUUGUAGUUUCCUUGCCGCCCGUACAACAGAAUUGGAGAGUGCUGCAUAUCCUGCACUUGAUGAGCUGACGUCUAAAAUUAGUAGCCGUAACUUGGACAGGGUUCGCAAAUUAAAGAGUUCAAUGACCAGGUUGACUGCUCGGGUCCAAAAGGUUAGAGAUGAACUUGAACAACUACUCGAUGAUGAUGAUGAUAUGGCUGACCUUUACUUGUCGAGAAAGUUGGCUGGUGCAUCUUCACCAGUUAGUGGCUCUGGUGCUGCCAGUUGGUUUCCUGUCUCCCCAACCAUUGGCUCAAAGAUAUCCAGAGCAAGUAGAGCAAGUAUGGCCACAGUCCGGGGAGAUGAGAAUGAUGUUGAGGAGCUUGAAAUGUUACUAGAGGCUUACUUUAUGCAAAUUGAUGGCACAUUGAACAAAUUAACCACGUUGAAAAAACCAUGAAGGGCAGAUGCUAGUAAUCAGUGACUGCUGCGAGAAUACAUUGAUGAUACAGAAGAUUACAUCAAUAUUCAGCUCGACAAUCAUCGAAAUCAGCUGAUUCAGUUGGAGCUCUUUCUAAGUUCUGGAACUGUUUGUAUAUCGAUCUUUUCUUUGGUGGCCGCAAUAUUUGGCAUGAACAUCCCGUAUACUUGGAAUGAGAACCAUGGAUAUAUGUUUAAAUGGGUGGUCAUUGUCACGGGAAUCAGUUGUGCUUUUCUCUUUCUACUAAUUGUUUAUCAUGCUUGCCACAAAGGAUUGAUUGGAUCUUGAAUUCAUACUCACACGUACUAAAGUAUUCCUGCUGGAAAGGAGUCUCGAGCUUGAGCACUAUGACUCGCUUAUCAUGCGUGGUAUAGUAAAUUACUUUGCUCAAUCUCUCUCUCUAGUUUAAAGUUUCAACAAGGAUCGCCUCAUGUGCCUAUGGCAGCUGGGUUUUAAUACAAAGGGAGGAACAUGGCGAGUUAGCUAAUUUAUGAACAAUCUGAUUUAUUGAUGUUAGGAGGAGCCAACUCAUAUAAGUGUAAAAACAGUCGGCUGAGUAAUUUAUUGUUCCAAUUUUGAUUCACAUUCUUUCUUAUUGUUCUUUGUAAACAUCAGUAUUUGGUUGAAAUGUUGAACAUAAGGUGAAUGCUAACCGCAAUAUAUUUGUAAUGAGUUACAUUUUUAAGACUUUUGCAAUGGUUCUCUGA